Molecule: ribosomal RNA, 718 nt
Filed under: uncultured bacterium
Lineage: Bacteria
Description: bacterial SSU rRNA
Rfam family: Bacterial small subunit ribosomal RNA
Source: RNAcentral
ACUCCUACGGGAGGCAGCAGUGGGGAAUUUUGGACAAUGGGGGGAACCCUGAUCCAGCCAUGCCGCGUGCAGGAUGAAGGCCUUCGGGUUGUAAACUGCUUUUGUACGGAACGAAAAGGUCUUUUCUAAUAAAGAAGGCUGAUGACGGUACCGUAAGAAUAAGCACCGGCUAACUACGUGCCAGCAGCCGCGGUAAUACGUAGGGUGCGAGCGUUAAUCGGAAUUACUGGGCGUAAAGCGUGCGCAGGCGGUUAUGCAAGACAGAUGUGAAAUCCCCGGGCUCAACCUGGGAACUGCAUUAGUGACUGCAUAGCUAGAGUGCGGCAGAGGGGGAUGGAAUUCCGCGUGUAGCAGUGAAAUGCGUAGAUAUGCGGAGGAACACCGAUGGCGAAGGCAAUCCCCUGGGCCUGCACUGACGCUCAUGCACGAAAGCGUGGGGAGCAAACAGGAUUAGAUACCCUGGUAGUCCACGCCCUAAACGAUGUCAACUGGUUGUUGGGGAUUUACUUCCUCAGUAACGAAGCUAACGCGUGAAGUUGACCGCCUGGGGAGUACGGCCGCAAGGUUAAAACUCAAAGGAAUUGACGGGGACCCGCACAAGCGGUGGAUGAUGUGGUUUAAUUCGAUGCAACGCGAAAAACCUUACCCACCUUUGACAUGUACGGAAGAUCGCAGAGACGCGAUUGUGCUCGAAGAGAGCCGUAACACAGUGCUGCAU